UACGGGGGGGGCAAGCGUUGUUCGGAAUUACUGGGCGUAAAGGGUCUGUAGGUGGCCAACUAAGUCAGACGUGAAAUCCCUCAGCUUAACUGGGGAACUGCGUCUGAGACUGGAUGGCUUGAGUGCAGGAGAGGAACGCGGAAUUCCAGGUGUAGCGGUGAAAUGCGUAGAUAUCUGGAGGAACACCGGUGGCGAAGGCGGCGUUCUGGACUGCAACUGACACUGAGAGACGAAAGCCAGGGGAGCGAACGGG
This 253-nucleotide ribosomal RNA is filed under the name uncultured bacterium. RNAcentral describes it as "partial 16S ribosomal RNA". It matches the Rfam family "Bacterial small subunit ribosomal RNA", at positions 524 to 776 of the family's 1533-position model. The record is from RNAcentral.